This 438-nucleotide ribosomal RNA is filed under the name uncultured bacterium. RNAcentral's name for it is "bacterial SSU rRNA". It matches the Rfam family "Bacterial small subunit ribosomal RNA", at positions 954 to 1392 of the family's 1533-position model. The record is from RNAcentral.
GCUUAACGCGAAGAACCUUACCAGGUCUUGACAUCCCGCUGACCGCUAUGGAGACAUAGCUUUCCCUUCGGGGACAGCGGUGACAGGUGGUGCAUGGUUGUCGUCAGCUCGUGUCGUGAGAUGUUGGGUUAAGUCCCGCAACGAGCGCAACCCUUGUCCUUAGUUGCCAUCAUUCAGUUGGGCACUCUAAGGAGACUGCCGUACAAAUACGGAGGAAGGUGGGGAUGACGUCAAAUCAUCAUGCCCCUUAUGACCUGGGCUACACACGUGCUACAAUGGACGGUACAAACGGUUGCGAAGUCGCGAGACGGAGCCAAUCCGAGAAAGCCGUUCUCAGUUCGGAUUGCAGGCUGCAACUCGCCUGCAUGAAGCCGGAAUCGCUAGUAAUCGCGGAUCAGCAUGCCGCGGUGAAUACGUUCCCGGGUCUUGUACACACCG